Molecule: long non-coding RNA, 4119 nt
Filed under: Vitis vinifera (wine grape)
Lineage: Eukaryota; Viridiplantae; Streptophyta; Magnoliopsida; Vitales; Vitaceae
Description: long non-coding RNA (VVIN_LNC002047)
Source: RNAcentral
UGGCUUGGUAGCAGUUAUGAAGAGACCCCCAAGCAAAUACAAUUCGCAAUGGGCAAGAGUGUUGGUGAAGUCUAAUGGGAAGAGGAUCCUUGGGACAUACAAUUUGGUGGUGGGCCCUUCCUACUUAGGUAUUCAGCUUUGGUGGGAGGUUCUGCCAUAGCUGUCUCUGGUUAUCCCUAGGGUAGAUUGAAGAUGGGGGGUGAUGUUGAGGAAGAGCCACAUGCAGUGGGUAGAGUAGGAGAUUAAUUUCUGUCAAUGAGGUGUGGGGUUUGGGAUGGGUCAUCCUUUGAUUCAAGUUGUAGGGGGUAAGGUCAUGGAUUUAGGCUAAACUAGGUUCUUGGAGGCCCAAGGUGAGAGAAUAGGGGGGAUGCAAGCAGGGCCUUAGAGGAUGGUGGGCCUAGUGGUCACUUUAGGGGUUUGGCUUUAAAGGAGGCCCAUUGUGAGACAGAAGGGGGCAGUGAAAUGGGCCAUGUAAGGAGAGGCCUAGAAAAGGAGAUGGGAUGUGGUUCUUCUUUAAAGCUGAUGGGUUGUGGGUUGGCUUGAAAGAGGGUGGAUUUUAAUGAGCGUGGAUUUGGGCUGGAUGGUCAGGUGUGCUAUGGGAUGGAUCGACCAUUUGAUGUUUUUAAAGGGAGAGUAUCAAGAGGAGAGUAACAGUGUGGGUCUAAGGCUUGUUUGGUCUCUAAGCUUAGAGGGAUGCAGAGCGGGAAAGGGGAGAUCAUUGGCAAGGAAAAAACUUAUGGUUUGCUUACAAGAAACAAAAAUUUAGGAGAUGCUAAAGGGAGCUAGUGAAGGGCUUAGGGGUGGGCAGAUUUUUGUAAUUGGGAGUCAUGGGUGUUGGAUUUCUGGGAUAAGAGGGUAUUAGAGCUUGUGGAUAUGGAAUUGGGAGAAUAUUCAAUUUUUUGUUGGUUAAAAAAUUGUGGGGAUGACUUUGUUUGAGUUUUGCAUUGGUAUAUGGAUCCAUCAUAGGGGGAGAAAGGGAGGAUUUCUUGGCAGAGUUGGGGGUUAUAUAUAAAAGGGAUUGUGGGAUGAUCCUUGGUUCAUUUGAGGAGACUUCAAUGCGGAUAGAUUCCUAGGGGAGCAUAGCAGAGGUAAAAAGGAGGUUCUCAGAGUUGCAUGAUCUUCCUUUGUUGGGGAGUCCUUUUACUUAGAGUGUAGGGAGGGAGAAAGGAGGGGGGAGCACCCCUUACUAAGAUUAGAUCGGUUUUUAUUGUUUCAAAGGUAGGAAAGUCAUUUCAAGGGGGUGGUUUAAAGUACUCUAUUGAAUAUUGUUUAUGAGCAUGCUCCUCUAUUGCUAGAUGGGGGUGGGAUGAGGAGUGGUGCUGUCCCUUUCAAGUUAAAAAAUAUGUGGUUAAAGGAGGUGGGGUUCAAAGGUUGGUGGAUGGACUAUAAUUUUAGAAGUUCUCCCAAACUCGUCUUGUCUGUAAAGUUGAAAGCUUUAAAAUUAGAUCUGAAAAAGGAAACAGAAAAGUGUUUGGCAAUGUUUCCAUCAAGAAGGAGAUCACUUAAAAUCAGAUGGGUUUUAGAUUCCAAGGACGGAGAAGGGUCGCUAUCAAAAGAAAAGGAUGAAGUUAGGAGGUUAGCAAAGGAGUAUUUUCGUAAGUGGGCCCUUUUUGAAGAAGCAUUGUGGAGGGAGAAAUCAAGGGAAGUUGGUCAAAGGAGGGUAAUAGAAACACUAAAUUUUCCUCAAAAUGACCAAUGCUCAUAAGAGUUUGAUGUCCAAGAUUAACAUUAAUGGGGAGUGUUUUUUUGAGGAAAAUGAGAUAAGGGAACUUGGAAGGCGUGGUAAUAGUGUUCCACAACCUUUUAUCUGACACGAAUGAAUGGAGACCUAGCAUUUUAGCUUUUUGAUUCCUUGGAUAGACAUGAAGUAGAAAGAUUGGAGGGUCCAUUCUAAAAAAAAGAGGUGUUUAGUGCCUUGUUUGAUCUGAAUACUAGAUGAGUUCUUUUUAGCAUUCUAUUAAUUUAGUUGGGACUUUGCUAAAAACAAGGUGUGGGGAUUUUCAAGGAGUUUUCUGAUUAAGGGAGGUUCAAGAAAAGUCCCAAUACUACCUUUUCUUUUUGUGUUAAUGUCAAAGAAGGAGGGUGCAAAGGAUAUGAAGGAUUGCAGGUCUAUUAGCUUGGUGGAAGGGCUAUAUGGAAUUCUUGCCACAAUUUUGGCAAAGAGAUUGAAGAUGGUGUGUGGAAGGGUAGUCUCUAAGUCUUAGAAUGGCUUUGUAGGGAGGGAAGACAAAUCUUCGAUGAGGUGCUAAUAAGCUAGUGAAGCUAUAGAUUCUAGGGGUGUGAGGAAGCUUGGUUCGGUUGGUUAUUAGAUUGUGAUUAACCAACUUGAUUUGUUUCUGCCUGAGGCUAACCAAACUGUACCUAUGUAGUGCGAAAAAUAGAACAAAACCAAGCAUAUCGAGAUUGAUUUGUUUGGUUCCAAAGAAUUGGUUUAGGCCUAAUUUUAAGGCUUCAAUCUCCUUCCUUGACUUGUUGUGGAGGUGUUGAAGAUGGUGAUGUCGGUUAGGUUGAGAUUCUGAAGUGAAGAUGACUAGUGCUGUGAGGUUAUUGAAAGUAUGGAUGAUGGUGAUGAUGGUGGAGAUGAGCUGGCCAGAGAUUGUGAUCGUGGCUGAAGGUUGGUGGUGUGGGUGUUAAGGAGAAGUUGCGCUGGAGGCAUGAACAUGAAUGAUGGUCUUGGUGAAGAUGAUGUGAUAAUAGUGGGUUUCUUGGGUUGGUUUCCUUUUCCUCUUGUGAUCGACCUUGUGGUAUUGAUAAAAUAGGGAGAGAGAAAAUGAGUGUUUCCCUUUUCCUCAGUGACUAUUUGUCUCAUUUCCUUCUCUUUUAAGGUGAGCUUGUCAUGUGCUCUUUAAGACCACUUUGCUUAGCUUGUUUGGCAAGUAGCGUACUCAUCAUAGAUAACCACUUGGCGAGUUUGGCAAGCUUCAACCCCAUUGGCGAUAGGUGUAUGGGUGGAGGCCAACACAUACAAGGGUUUGUUGUUUCAGUCCUUGUUAGUUUUAAUAUUUUCAAAUAAAAAUCCGAACCAUUUGAAUCGAUUUUUUCAAAAUCGAACCAAAUCUUUUACAACUAAAAACGAACCAAUGAGGUUGGUUUGGUUCAAUUUAAUUGUUCUUUUUCUUUUUUUUUCUUUUAAUUUACUUACACCCCUAAUAGAUUCUAUGUUAAAAAAAUAAUGUAUGUGGUGUUUGGUGCAAAUUAGAUAUCGAAAAGGCUAAUGAUCAUGUCAACUGGAAUUUCUUGCUACAAAAGAUGAAUUUUGGUAGAAAUGGAUAUGUUGGAUCAAAUGUGUAUUUCUUUUGCUAAGUUUUCAUUUCUUGUCAAUGACACCUUUUCGAGUUUUUUUCAAAGUUUUGGGGGUUUGAGGCAAGGGGAUCCUCUUUCUCCCUACUUAUUUGCUUUAUCAAUGGAGACUCUAAGUUGUCUUCUAAAGUGGGCCAAGGAUGGUAGUUACCUUUUGCGCUUUAGGGUAAAGGGGAAAGGAGUUGAGAGGGAGAAAGUGUCUUAUUUGUUGUUUGUUGAUAAUACUUUUGUUUUUCUUGAGGCUUCUCAAGACCAAAUUGUUCAUUUAAGCUUGUUGCUCAUGUGGUUUGAAAAUUAUCUUGAAAAGAGCGAGUUGAUUUCAAUUGGGAGAGUGGACAAUAUCUAGGAGUUGGCCUAUUUAAUGGGGUGUAAGGUGAAUGAGCUUCAAACUUCUUAUUGGGGCUUCCUUUGGGCAUUAUUUUCAAAUCAAUGGUGGCUUGGGAUGGGAUGGGAAAAAGGUUUCGCAAAAGAUGGCUGUUGUGGACAAGACGAUAUUUAAAAAACUGGGGGCGGCCGAGAGCGAGGAAGCGAGUGAACCCGCCGGCGGCGAGAAUGUUUCUCGCGCGGAGAAUAGGAGGAAAAGGAAGACGAGGAGCUUUGGGGUGGAGUCCAAGUCCUUCGUGCUGGAAAUGGAGGAGAGGAGAGGGAAAACCCUAAUAACCAUCACAGAAAGCAAGAAAGGGGUAUCGUCUUGGGUGCGCAUGGGGAUGUUCAGCGUCGGACUGUUCAUGGAAGGCCUUCAUCAGUGCAUUGAAGAUGUGAAUGAAGGCAGAUGGGAAAAGGGUUAGAAGGAAAAGGGGAGGAACUUUUCUCUGAUGC